RNAcentral lists this ribosomal RNA (427 nucleotides) under uncultured bacterium. Its description in RNAcentral is "partial 16S ribosomal RNA". It matches the Rfam family "Bacterial small subunit ribosomal RNA", at positions 355 to 774 of the family's 1533-position model. The record is from RNAcentral.
UGGGGAAUAUUGCACAAUGGGCGCAAGCCUGAUGCAGCCAUGCCGCGUGUAUGAAGAAGGCCUUCGGGUUGUAAAGUACUUUCAGCGGGGAGGAAGGUGUUGAGGUUAAUAACCUCAGCAAUUGACGUUACCCGCAGAAGAAGCACCGGCUAACUCCGUGCCAGCAGCCGCGGUAAUACGGAGGGUGCAAGCGUUAAUCGGAAUUACUGGGCGUAAAGCGCACGCAGGCGGUCUGUCAAGUCGGAUGUGAAAUCCCCGGGCUCAACCUGGGAACUGCAUUCGAAACUGGCAGGCUAGAGUCUUGUAGAGGGUGGUAGAAUUCCAGGUGUAGCGGUGAAAUGCGUAGAGAUCUGGAGGAAUACCGGUGGCGAAGGCGGCCCCCUGGACAAAGACUGACGCUCAGGUGCGAAAGCGUGGGGAGCAAACA